UGUUACCAUGACGACAGUUACAACAAACUUCAACGAGCAAAUAAGUUUCGGUUUCUGCGGGCAAAACUUAUUUUAUUUUUCCUUUGUGUUAAAAAAAAGGAAGUGAAAAAUGAUUCCUACAUCCGAUUCUCUUCUGAAAUACAAUAAUCCGAUGUUGAUCAAGAAUUCAGAGACUAAAUCUCCAAAGCAGCCAUCAGACUUCAAACCAACUACUCCACCUUCUAAAUCAAAACCUGCAACGAGUGAAGACAAUAAUGAAACCAAGCAGGUCCUGGAAGCCAUUUUUCCACCCAGGGAAUGGAUGGACGAAAACCAGCU
Molecule: long non-coding RNA, 318 nt
Organism: Cyprinodon variegatus (sheepshead minnow)
Lineage: Eukaryota; Metazoa; Chordata; Actinopteri; Cyprinodontiformes; Cyprinodontidae
Exons: 3
Source: RefSeq, a predicted model, not a curated record